Molecule: non-coding RNA, 949 nt
Organism: Kogia breviceps (pygmy sperm whale)
Lineage: Eukaryota; Metazoa; Chordata; Mammalia; Artiodactyla; Physeteridae
Source: RefSeq, a predicted model, not a curated record
UUCUGAGUCCACACUCCUGUUCUUUACUCUCGAUGACACAUCUGCAUGGAAUGCACCUCCCCCACUCUUCAGAUGACACUCAUUCUCAUCGCCCUGCCUAGCCGUCACUCCUGGGAAAGGGCCAAGGGCCUCUCUGCCCAGCACUUCCAAAGUCAUCCUGUAUCACCACCCCACAGUGACUCACUGUCACAGCACAGCCUAUGUUUUCCUGGAUGAAUACGUGUUCGUUAACAUGUCCCCCUAACUCUUCAGAGGGUUAAGGGAACUCCAGGGUUUGCAGCCUGGUCAGCAGUGAGGAUGGGGUACAACUGCUGGAGGCUGAAAGUGGGGACAGAGGGGCCUCGGGCUCACUCUCAUGCACAGAGGGGGGAUGGGUCUGUGCCAGCCUCCCGGCGAGGCCCACCUGUGGACAAAGGGUGGGAACUCGGCAGAGAUGUCACUUGGCUCCGUUUGGUAACUUGUUGCUCUAAGGCCAGAGCUCAUUCUGGCCCCUGCAUUCCCAGCUGCUGCUGCUCGGAGCAGCUAACCUGAGAUGAGUUGCAGCUCAUGGUCCAGAGGGAAGUGGGGGGAGGGGAGAGGGACGAGAGAGCUUCCUGUGUCUUCCCGGCUCUCCACAGACAUCACUUUUGCUUGGGAUCUUCCAGAAAUAGAGGAAGCCCUCCCCGCUGAAUGGUCCGUUCCUCCUAUAGUCUCCUGCGGCUGUCAUCAUCCAGUGACCUCACCAGCGCUCCUGUGAUCGUGCCCUUCGCUCAGUGACUCAUCUGUUGUUACCCUGAGCUAUGGGGAACGCCCUCAUCUUCUUCCUCAAGGAAUUUCUAAGCCUCUGAUUAUGGCUUUGGUUACCAAUCCACCCCUGGUUUCUGUGAAAUGGGAUAUUCAUUCCAGGACACCCUACCUUCUAGGGCUGGAGUAAGUUUGCAAAUGCUCACUGUAAACUAAAGCUCUGUGC